GGCCAGUUAGAUCAGUUGGUUAGAGUGUGGUGCUAAUAAUGCCAAGGUCACAGGUUAAAUCCCUGUACUGGCCA
Molecule: non-coding RNA, 74 nt
Organism: Neoarius graeffei (lesser salmon catfish)
Lineage: Eukaryota; Metazoa; Chordata; Actinopteri; Siluriformes; Ariidae
Source: the annotation of a RefSeq genome assembly